Long non-coding RNA from Etheostoma spectabile (orangethroat darter), 357 nucleotides. RefSeq lists it as uncharacterized. Lineage: Eukaryota; Metazoa; Chordata; Actinopteri; Perciformes; Percidae. The transcript has 3 exons. The record is from RefSeq and is a predicted model, not a curated record.
GUAAAGUAAAUGUCUGUACUCUGUAUGUAUUCCACGUAUUUAUUCCUGUCAGCAGCACAUUGACUGCUGCUGUAUAAGACCCUGAAGAUCCUCAUAGAGAGAAGGUCGGGGGGGUGUUUAGCUCCUAAAACACAGGGCUUUUAAGCCAGGGAACAGAGUUCAUGUCCCAGAAAACGUUAAGGAGAAAACAUAAGACUUUCACCAGGAAACAGGUGUCCAUGUCCUGGAGAAGUUAAGGAGAAAACAGAAGACCUUCAACAGGAAACAGAUGUUCAUGUCCAGGAGAAGUUAAGGAGAAAACACAAGACUUUCACCAAGGAAACAGGUGUUCAUGUCCUGGAGAAGUUAAGGAGAAAA